This 468-nucleotide ribosomal RNA is filed under the name uncultured bacterium. Its description in RNAcentral is "partial 16S ribosomal RNA". It matches the Rfam family "Bacterial small subunit ribosomal RNA", at positions 28 to 507 of the family's 1533-position model. The record is from RNAcentral.
GACGAACGCUGGCGGCGGGCUUAACACAUGCAAGUCGAACGAAAAGGCCCUGCCUUGGGGCGGUGGUCGGGGUGCGAACGGGGGAUUAACACGUGUGUAACCAGCCCUUGACGGUGGGAGAACGUCAUGAAACUGGGGCUAAUACCGGAUAGGAGCUCCUGCUGCAGGGUGGGGGUGGGAAAGUUUCGGCGGUUGGGGAUGGACUCGCGGCUUAUCAGAUUGUUGGUGGGGUAGUGUCUUACCAAGGCUUGGACGGGUAGCCGGGCUGAGAGGGUGACCGGACCAAUUGGGACUGAGCUACGGCACAGACUCGUACGGGACGCAGGGGUGGGGAAUAUUGCCCAAUGGGAGGAAGCCUGCUGCAGCCACGCCGCGUGCGGGAUGACGGCCAUCGGGUUGUAAACCGCUUUCGCCUGAGACGAAGAGUGAGUGACGGUAAUGGGUAAAGAAGCACCGGCUAACUCCGUG